RNAcentral lists this long non-coding RNA (2151 nucleotides) under Ooceraea biroi (clonal raider ant). RNAcentral's name for it is "uncharacterized LOC113561837". The record is from RNAcentral. Lineage: Eukaryota; Metazoa; Arthropoda; Insecta; Hymenoptera; Formicidae.
UGGCGUCACACCUGUUUCAUUAUUAUUUGAUAAUAAUGUAAAUCAAGGCAACAAUCCAUUUAGUUCGCUUUACUUACUCAAUAAAAUUACAUAUAAUUUCUUAUUAACAUAACUAUAACCUAAUCUAGGUUUCAAAUAAUUUACUUACAAGUAGAAUGAAAACUUUCUGUUUGCAGCUUUUGCUUUUUCUAAUUGUUUAGAAUUUUUAUUAUUUAUACGAUUAUUGCAGCCAAAUACACAAAACUCAUGUCACUGAUAGAAAUCCAAAAGGUCAUAAUCACUUUAGAUAUCAAUACAAUAAUCACAAGCACAAUAUGUGAGCAGGAGCCCGUCAACUGAACCAUUAGCCGAACGUUAGCCGAACGUAACCGAAUUCGACCGAAGUUCAUGCAGUUCCCCCAGUUCCCCCUUACCGCGAAUAUCAGGCUCCCCCUCACCUUCUUCGAUAGCUAAGGCUCCGUCUAUUGUAUUCUAAUGUCAAUGGUGGGAACGUCUAGAUUGACUUUGGGGAUUGUGACCUUAUUAAGAUACAACGCAUUCAGUACGCCGCGAUUCGCACGAUUCUUGGCCUCAUGAGAACGACCCCCACAAAUGUUCUUCUGGAUAUUUCCGGCGAACUACCUAUGGAGGACAGCUGGCAUUUAUUACAGAGAAAAUUUGUUUGCAAAACGGUGGCACGCUCAAAUCACCCUCUAAACUGCCUCUUACAGCGCGGUGCCGAUGCGGACGAUCCGCUGCGUAUCAACAUAUAUGGACUUUUUUCAGUUUUUUCGAAAAUGAGGCAUUUGCUUCCUCGGAUUGAGCGGUUCGAUUUGCCUGGCUUUCUGGGUUUUCCUUUGGAGAUCAGAUACUUCAUGUGUGACGCGGAUGUUUCGGCUGGGUGGGACUUGCGCUCGGGUUUUGAUUUCGUCUUUUCUUCUAGGCCAAUACAUUCGGAACGGCGACUUCCAACGCGUCCUUUUUACUGACGGGUCUCGGUAGCUCGUCGGGGAUACUUACAGGGUAGGCUAUGGUAUCUUCGGAGAUCAACCCCGCAUAUCGAUAUGCCGAAGAUUGCAUGACCACCAAUCCAUCUUUGACGCGGAAACCACCGCUAUCCUUCGGGCCGCAGACCUUCUUCUGACCGGCCCCCCGUGUUCUAGAUUGCUGAUUGCGUCGGACUCAUUGAGCGUCAUAUCUGCUCUACGGAUGCCUGAUGGUUGUGAUUCGGGCAUCAAAUAUCGAUAGACAAAUAUCGGCACGACGAGACGCGUAGCGAUGUAUUCGACCCUUUUCUCACGCGACCGUUGUAGCGAGCGAACAAAUAAGUGGAUCCACUGGCGGAUAGUUACUGGCGGAUAGUUUACCGAUAUAGAAUUAAGGCGGAUUUGUGCACAGAUCUGAAAAACGAAAAAGGCGACUGAUAUCCGGAAGUCACGGAAUCAAUCGGAUGAGUAGAAAUUUUUCUUUAAUUUGAUUUAUGAGAUUCUUUGCUUGAACAAAGCAUUGGCUAUUUUUGUAUUUUCUUUUCUUGUGACUUUGAGGUUCACACGUAUAUUUUCUUGCUUAUUUGUAUGUGAUUGAUAUAUAAUUAUUUGAAACUGUUUGAAUGUAUUGUUACAUAUUUUUCGUAAUUAUAUAUAUAUACAUUUUCUUUUGUUUAUUGAAAUACUGAACACAUUUAUUUAUACCUUAUCUCGCACAUUUGCAAAGGGAAAUAAUCAAAUUUCAACAAUAUAUACAAUUAAGAAUGCUUUUAGGUCGUUGCUUUUGGAGAGGGGGAUGCCCGUCCGCCUGCUGUGGGUUCCGGGCCACUCUGGAAUCGUUGGAAACGAGCGUGCGGACGGACUCGCCAAGGCCGCUCUUUCUUUGACAGAUGCAUCCGUGCAGUCUUGUCACUAUAAAUCCUUUUUUUCUUCGUUUCAUGAAUCGAUAGGGCGCCGGGCUUGUCGCCACAUUAUUCAGGAUUGUACAAAUAAGGGGAAGCGUUAUUUUGACAGAAAGGUUGAUCCGGUUCUUGCGAAGCCUUGGUUCCGAUGCCUGGAAAGUUUUUGGGUAAAUCUGAAGGAGAGUCUCUUCCUCACCGAUUUCGUUCUAACUUUGCAAUAUCGUUUAUUUUGAUGAGAAAAUGCGAUUGCGAGAAGGAAAAUCGUCGCUCUCAAGUAGAAAAAA